GUGCUCGCUUUGGCAGCACAUAUACUAAAAUUGGAAUAAUACAGAGAAGAUUAGCAAGGCCCCUGCACAAGGAUGACAUGCAAAAUAAAAAUAAAAAUAAAAAAAUA
This is a small nuclear RNA of Suncus etruscus (white-toothed pygmy shrew), 107 nucleotides long. Lineage: Eukaryota; Metazoa; Chordata; Mammalia; Eulipotyphla; Soricidae. The record is from RefSeq and is a predicted model, not a curated record.